GGCAUGUACCAGGCCUCCAAACUUGUGUAUAGUAACAGAGUACAUGUCUGGAGGAAGCGUAUAUGACUACUUACACAAACAGAAGGGCAGUUUCAAGUUCCCUACUUUGCUCAAAGUAGCAAUUGAUGUGUCAAAAGGGAUGAAUUACCUGCACCAGAAUAACAUCAUACAUAGAGACUUGAAGGCUGCCAAUCUACUGAUGGAUGAAAAUGAAGUUGUUAAAGUGGCUGAUUUUGGUGUUGCCAGAGUGAAGGCACAAACUGGUGUCAUGACGGCAGAGACAGGGACUUAUAGAUGGAUGGCCCCUGAGAUUAUAGAACACAAGCCAUAUGAUCACAAAGCAGAUAUUUUCAGUUUUGGGGUUCUGUUAUGGGA
RNAcentral lists this unclassified non-coding RNA (375 nucleotides) under Hevea brasiliensis (rubber tree). The record is from RNAcentral. Lineage: Eukaryota; Viridiplantae; Streptophyta; Magnoliopsida; Malpighiales; Euphorbiaceae.